AACGAACGCUGGCGGCAUGCCUAACACAUGCAAGUCGAACGAUCCCUUCGGGGAUAGUGGCGCACGGGUGCGUAACGCGUGGGAACCUGCCCUUAGGUUCGGAAUAACUCAGAGAAAUUUGAGCUAAUACCGGAUAAUGUCUUCGGUCCAAAGAUUUAUCGCCUUUGGAUGGGCCCGCGUUGGAUUAGCUAGUUGGUGGGGUAAAGGCCUACCAAGGCGACGAUCCAUAGCUGGUCUGAGAGGAUGAUCAGCCACACUGGGACUGAGACACGGCCCAGACUCCUACGGGAGGCAGCAGUGGGGAAUAUUGGACAAUGGGCGAAAGCCUGAUCCAGCAAUGCCGCGUGAGUGAUGAAGGCCUUAGGGUUGUAAAGCUCUUUUACCCGGGAUGAUAAUGACAGUACCGGGAGAAUAAGCCCCGGCUAACUCCGUG
This 433-nucleotide ribosomal RNA is filed under the name uncultured bacterium. RNAcentral describes it as "partial 16S ribosomal RNA". It matches the Rfam family "Bacterial small subunit ribosomal RNA", at positions 29 to 507 of the family's 1533-position model. The record is from RNAcentral.